Arabidopsis thaliana (thale cress) is the source of this 382-nucleotide long non-coding RNA. RefSeq annotates it as other RNA. NCBI's taxonomy places the organism in Eukaryota, Viridiplantae, Streptophyta, Magnoliopsida, Brassicales, Brassicaceae. The record is from RefSeq. The transcript has a single exon.
UUGUAUAAGAGCCAUUACACUCCCUGCAACACAAGAACUAGAUUCAGCUAACAAAACCCAAUUUCUUCAACAAACAAACCGAAAGUUGAAAGCUUUAAAAACCUAAGAAGAUUAUAUGCAAUUUUCAUGAAAUUUCGACCCGAGACAAAAAGAGUUUCACUUUCACCGCAAAUAAGCUUGCACCCAUUACGAAACAUACGAAUUCUUCAACCACUAAGCAGAAAAAAAUCACAGCUUUCUAAAGAAAUUCGAGUGAACAAAUCUGUAAAAACACGAGCUUGGAGCCACCACCAUUUAGUUAGAGGAAAAAUCAAGACAAGUGAAGGAAAACAUAGAAAAACAACAUUCUAUGGAUGACUCUAAUCAAACGAGAGAAGCUGAA